AAAGCAACAGCUUUCUUCUAGCUUACCGGGGGUGCUGGUUGUGGGCAGGCCUGGUGGGGACGAAAUCCAUCAGCCCACAGGCAUGUCCCAGUGUCACUGCUGGGAGCCUGGAGGUGCUCCUGCAGCUGGAGGUUUUGCUUCGCUGCUCCCCAUGUCCUUCCCCUGCCUGGGGGUGUGCACUGGGGUGCCCGCACUCCUGUUCGUCUGGCAGUGUGGUUGUUUGGAUGAAGCUAAAGCAAUGCUAUACCCAGAGAUUAUUUUUAGUCACACUAACAGGCUGCGUUCUGCUUUUCCUUGUGCUGGAGAUAUUCCUCUUUCCUCUGCACAUCUCUGCAUGCACAGCCUGGAUGAGAAGGGACAGAGAUCAAUGCUGCAGCCACCCUGUGUCCUGCAGCCCACCCGAAACCUCCAGCCUGCUUCAGUCAUCUAGGGUCCCCGCUCAGUGUUGAUGCUGCAGGCAGCUCUGGCUCUUGGUUCCCAUUCACUCUUGAUAGUCCCGGCCUGGUGCAAGGGACUAACCAAGCCCCAGAAGUCUCAUUUUUGGAUCACCUCCCCAGUUCCAAGAUCGUGGGUGGGACUGCCACCCACAGCAAGAGACCAGUGCUAAACUCCCACCUUCAGCCAGUGAUGCGCUGCAGGCAUCUGCCCUCUCCUGAGUCUCAGUACAACUUCUACGUGCUCCUGAAUCUGUUGGUCCCUGCCAGCCAUGGGGUCUCCAUCCUAUCCACCCAUCCUCUUUCCAGCACCAUAAACCACCAUUCUUGGAGAAGACAACCCUGAGCAGGUGGGCAGAGCACAUCACACACCUUGUGCAUGAGGGACUCGUGUGUGUCCAAUACAGAGGAGUCAUCAGGCAGUCAAUUAGAGCCAGUGCUGUGCUCCCGCUGAAGUCUAUUAUCAGGGUUUUAGCCGACUGCGCCCUGUUUGGGAUAACUGAUGUGAGCAGGGUGGGAGAGAGGCAGCAGGAAGCCCCAGAAAGGAGGAUUUGUGCUCUGGCUGGUGUGGGGGAGUGAAAUCACACGCUGUUUCUCACCGGGAUUUCUCAGUAGCAGAGCGUUUUGUUCAUCUCCUUCCCUCCUGCUUGGAGAGUGAUGUCCCAGGAGCAUCAGGAAGCAGCUGUGGCCUGGAUUACCUGGUCUGAUGCAGUGCUGUGAUAAAGCCCAGCUCCUUCACAGCCCUCGGGGAGGAGGAAGGAAGCAGCACAAUAGCCAAGGGCCGGAGGAAGGGUCCGUGCAGGAAGACACCCCUCCCUCUUUCCUACCCUUCGCCUUGCAUCUGGGGACGCCCUGGGAGCAGCCCCUUCCCUUGGACGCCAGCCAUGCUGGAGGCGGGGGGACGUGUCUCAGUAUGGGCUGUGAACUGCAUCACUGCUCGUUUCCCUGCACUCCGGAUGCCGGCAGGAACCGAGGCCUGGAAGUGCAGGUGAGCGGCUCACCCUCGGGGCACCACAACCAGCUGCUGUUCCACAAGAAAGGAUGGGGAGCUGAUUGUACAGGAAGGACCUUUGCAGAGGGUCAGGAGCAGAUGGCAGCAGCACGUACUGCUGUUGCCCUGACCGGGGUUGUGUGUGAUGUGGAGCAGUGCUGAGCAGCCUACGACAGGUACCCCGUCUGUCACACAGCCUGCCAAAGGUGACUGAGGAGGGAGCGCAAGGCACCACGAGGUGCUCCAGCAUGGUGGGACUGUCAGGUGAGACAUGAGGAAGAAAUUUUUUACUGUGGGGGUGAUGAGACACUGGCCCAAGUUGCCCAGAGGGGUGGUGAAUGAGACAUCCCAGGCCAGGCUGGACAGGACUCUGAGCAACCUGACUAUGUCCCUGCUCAUGGCAGGGGUUGGACUGGGUGAGCUUGGAAGGUCCCUUCCAGCACAAACUGUUAUGUGAUUCUAUUCUAUUAUUCUAUGACAUGUCCUCCGCCUGCAGUCAGGCUACUGGUCUCCCCCAAAGAGCCAGACCACACCAGACAGAAGCCAUGGAUGCCACUGCAGACCCACCUGCCUGUCAUGGUCCCAUACCAGGCAGCCUCUUUCACGUGCUCCUCUCCAUCUCAUCAUCACUCUUUGUUUCUCUCACUCCUCUCUCACAUACUCUCAUUCAUGUAGAUCUGCAAGGCUCCCUCUCUGCUGUGGAACUGUCUCCAGGGGCCUCUCUCUCUGCUUUGCUGAGAUUAUUACUUUUCAAAUUUUCUCUUAAACAAUGGCAAACCCUCCCGAGAAAAUGCAGUGCUCCAGGUUGGGAGCCUGUGCACCUCCGCACAGAUUUCCUCGUGCAGACUCUACCUUGCCUUCCCCUCAACCCCCAAGGUGCUGCAGAGGGGGAAAUUCAGACACUGCGCUUGCCUGCAUAGCUCCCAAUAAAGAGUAUCAAACAGGAAUGAAACACAAAAGCCACCUGGGGAAACAUAAAAGCUCCCAAUGCAUUGCUGGGAGGGCUGACAUGGGAACACUGCCUGCCUAAAUGUGAGGAAGGAAUGGGUAAGUAGGAGGAUUCAUCUUCUCUGGGUCCGCACAAGCAGAGCAAUGAAUCAGGAGAUGCUCUCCCCACAUCCACAUGAGCAGACCCCGGCCCCAGACUGCCCGUGCCUCAGGAUGCAGGCUGUGGUCGAGCAGUGCUGCUGUCUGUGGGAAUCUCCAAUUGCUUCUUCAAGCAUGCUGGGAUAAAUGGCACCAUGGGAAUUUAAGCAGGAACCCGAGGACAAGCUCAGCCUGCCUCUCAAAAGCUCGGCUUUCCCGGGAUUGUUGCUGGAGGACUCAGAGGACGUGUCAUUAUCCACUAGAGAAAGCCAGCAGAUAUUUGCUGGGAUUUGUCCAUACGUUCAGCCCCGUCAGAUUCACUUUCCCCUGGGACAAUUCUGGCAUGACUGUUGUUUCCUGCUUGGAGCUGGAGCAGAGGACGGGUGGGGGGCACGUGCAGACCAUCACAGCCACCCACCCCUGCCUCUGCCCCGGAGCCUUUGUUGGGGACGGCGGUGGUGCCAGCUGACCUUCCAGACCUACCAUGCCUCUCUGGGAUUUAUAAACUGAGAUACUGGAUGUUUACAUCCAUUUCUUCCUGCAGGAUGUGUACAAAAGCAUCCUAAACUGGAGCUGCGGGACAGACGCUUGCAAUGAGGCCUCCUAUGCCAUGGGCUAUUCACCAUCAGCCACAGUCACAGCAGAGGUAACCAGAAGAUGCUUGGGCACAGCGGAGCAGAGAACAGGACAUGCACAGAGCCACAGGCAGCAACCUGCACUUCCCACCUGAGGCAGUGGCAGCAGCAGGGACUGGGCUGCAGCUCAGAGUGGAGACCAUGCCUGCUUCAUCACGGGAUGCCGGUACGCCAACACAAAAGCCUCUCUGUCUCAUGUGGCCUCCCUUUUCUCCCCGCUCCUCAACCCUCCCUCAGCCAGGAGCAUGCACAGUGUGCUGCAACCUCCCUCCUGCUCACAUCCUGCCAGGAGAGGACAUCAAGGUAAUGUGACAAAAAGAAACAUCUAGCUGUUUCUUACAAUUUGCCUGCAAGAAAGCAAACCUGUGAACCUCACCUGUGAUCAUCUGCAACACAAGGACCUUGCCUGUGGCAGCUUCUGCCCAAGCUCCAACAUGAACACAGAUCCAUAGCAUCUUUUAUCCUUCUUCUGCAUCUUGGCAUGGCUGGGGGGCACCUACGCUGGACUAGUCUUUUCCUGAAGGACUGUACCCCAUGGAAGGGACCACACUGGAGCAGUUUGUGAAGAUCUGCAGCCCAUGGGAAGGAUUCACAUUGGAGAAGUUAAUGGAGAACUGUCUCCCAUGGGAGGGACCACAUGCUGGAGCAGGUGAAGAGGGUAAGGAGGAAGAGGAAGGACUAGCAGAGACAAUGUGUGAUGAACUGACCACAGCUGACCCUCCCCAUCCCUCUGUGCUGUUUGGAGGGAGGAGGUGGAGAAAUCAAGUUGAGCCCAGGAAUAAGGGAGGAGUGAUGGGAAGGUGUUUUAAGAUUUGGUUUUAUUUUUUAUUAUCCUAUUCUAACUUGAUUGGUAAUAAAUAAAACUGAUUUCCCUGAGAAGAGUCUGUUUUGCCUAUGGUGGUAAUUAGUGAACGAUCUCUGCCUUUUCUUAUCUCAACCUAUGAGCCUUUUGUUAUAUUUUCUCUUGGCUGUCCAGGUGAGGAGGGGAAUGAUAAGCAGCUUUGGUGGGCACCUGAUGUCCAGGAGGGU
Columba livia (rock pigeon) is the source of this 4175-nucleotide long non-coding RNA. RefSeq lists it as uncharacterized. NCBI's taxonomy places the organism in Eukaryota, Metazoa, Chordata, Aves, Columbiformes, Columbidae. The record is from RefSeq and is a predicted model, not a curated record. The transcript has 3 exons.